AUGCUGUCCUCCCACCCCUGUCACCUUCUGCUGAGCACAAGAAUCAGAACCUGCACGCGUUCACCGCCCGGGGUCACUGGCCGCGAUCGCUCCCCAGAAGCGCGAGCUCCCAGCCGCGGCGCCCGGCCCUUUCCUGGCAGCGCCCGCGCCUUUCGCAGAACCCGGCGGCCCCGGCAGCCCGGCGCGCACGGAGCGGGGCGGUCCCCAGCCGCCCUCCGCCGGGGCACGUUCCGCUUCCCCGGCCGGGCACCCCGGGGUGAGCAAGCGUUCCCCAAGGGAGCCGAGCCGGAGCGGCGGGCGCGAGGGGGCUUCCCAACGCGGUGCGCGGCGCGCCAGGCACGGGCGUCCCACUCCCGGGACACCUGUGCGCCGCGCACAGCCAGCCGCGGGGCCCCGGAGCGCCGCCCGCCCUCGGCCCCCGCCCGCCAGCCCCGAACGCCAACGGGGGGCUCCGGGGCGCCCGCCUCGGCGACCGCUGCUCGCUCGCCCCCGCCCGGCCCCGGCGCGCCCGCCGGCAGCGUGCACGGCCGUCGCCCGGGACCCCGCCGCCCGACGGCCCUCCCGCCUCAGGGUCGCGUCCCCGCCGGGCUCGGGACACUCACUCUUGAGCGCGCCGAUGAGGGACUUCCCGUCCUUGAUGAGCUCCUUGAUGAAUUUGUUGGUCUUGUCCAGCUCCGCUUCGUGCGACUUGAGCGUCUCUCGGAAGUGCGGGCUGUCGAGGCAGCAGUCGCUGAAUUCCAGCGCGGGGAGCCCCAUCGCGCCCGCGUCGCCCAGCCGGGGGGCGCGCCUGCCCCAGCGCCCGGGAGGCCCGCAGCCCCGAGCACGCACGCGGCGGGACCGCGGCCGGGACCCCCGACGCCCGCCGGCUCCACAGGUGUGGCCCCGGCUCGCCCUCCGCGCGGUGUCCGCCGGCGCGCACGGCUGCCGACCCGCGCGGGGUCCCGGCCGAGGGGCGGCUGCUCCGGCGGCGCGCCACGGAGCGGCUGGCGGGCAGGAAGCGCGGCCACCGACCCGCGGCGGCGCCGGGAAGCGAGCGAGCAGGCGGGCGAGCGCGGCGGCCGCCUCCCCGCCUCCUUCGCCCGAUCGCUCGCCAGCGGCCUCGAGCGCCCUCUCACAGCAGCCUCGGCCGCCCCGCCGGCGUCCGGGCCGCUCGAACCUGCUAGCGAUGACCUAAUCCCAGGCGGACCAAUCAGCACGCCCGCCUCAGCCCGACCCCCCUGCCUCCCGGGGACAGCCGGCCCUUCCGCGGCCUUGACCCAAUCAGCGGGGUGCGGAGGCGGGGCCUGGGCCGGGGGGCGGGCCCACGCCACCGCCCAGGUCCGCAACACAGGCUCCGCCCCCUCCCGCCCGCGCGGUGUUGCAGACCCCGUGCGGGAGGGGUGA
Molecule: long non-coding RNA, 1383 nt
Filed under: Canis lupus dingo (dingo)
Lineage: Eukaryota; Metazoa; Chordata; Mammalia; Carnivora; Canidae
Description: lncRNA (ENSCAFG00020020044.1)
Source: RNAcentral